Molecule: long non-coding RNA, 785 nt
Organism: Agelaius phoeniceus (red-winged blackbird)
Lineage: Eukaryota; Metazoa; Chordata; Aves; Passeriformes; Icteridae
Source: RefSeq, a predicted model, not a curated record
UCCUGAAAUUUCUCCAGAGGCUGCAAUUAUUCUUGUAAGGAGAAGUGCUGUGAUCUUAAAAAACCUGAUCACAAAAUGGAGGAGAGAAGUGCAGCUUGAGAGAGAUGUGACGUGGAAUGUGGUGAUUUUGCAUGGGAGGCAUUCAUGGAAGUGAUGCAAAGCAUCUGUGUGAUUGACAAUCUGAACCACUGGAAAGCUCUAAAUGCCUCUGUGAAAAACACAUGUUAAAGAUGAAAGAAACCUGGGAACGUUCGCUUUCUUAUUGGGUCGCCAAAGAGGCAACAGGGGCAAGGCCGGGCCCCUGCCGCAGGCCCGGACUCCCUUCCUGCUGCUGGGCAGUGAGAGGAGAGGCUGCGGGCCGAGGCCAGGCUGGGCUAUGGCUGUGAUUUCUAACAUCUUGCUGCUACUAAGCCCUGCCCUGCCACUAGCCUGAGGCCGAGCUGGGUCCACCGGUCCCCAGGAGCAACCCGGGGCCAGGCCAGCUCAGCCAAGAUCCUACCUACCACCACUGAGAUUUUUUCACAACCACCGGGCAGGAGGAGGAGAAGCUAUCGGCCCCCCCAGCCCCAGCUCCGGCAGCAAGCUGCUGAGCCUGGCCGGAGCCAGGUGACCCCCUGCAGGCCGUGGGCGAGAUAUAAACUCUGUCAGUGCUUCAAUCCUCCCACGAGUGAGAGAAAAGAACAAAAUGCAGGCAAUGUAAAGGAACAACAUGAAGACACCAAGCAUUGAAGGGAUUCAAGAUCUGCAUCUCUGAGUCAGCCUCUGAGGUGGUAAGGCCAGCAAGG